Molecule: ribosomal RNA, 467 nt
Filed under: uncultured bacterium
Lineage: Bacteria
Description: partial 16S ribosomal RNA
Rfam family: Bacterial small subunit ribosomal RNA
Source: RNAcentral
GACGAACGCUGGCGGCGUGCUUAACACAUGCAAGUCGAGCGGGAAACUUCGGUUUCCAGCGGCGGACGGGUGAGUAACACGUGGGCAACCUGCCUCACAAUGAGGGAUAGCCCUCCGAAAGGAGGAUUAAUACCUCAUAACACAAGAGAAACGCAUGUUUUUCUUGUCAAAGAAUUUCGUUGUGAGAUGGGCCCGCGGCGCAUUAGCUUGUUGGUGAGGUAACGGCUCACCAAGGCUUCGAUGCGUAGCCGACCUGAGAGGGUGAUCGGCCACAUUGGAACUGAGACACGGUCCAGACUCCUACGGGAGGCAGCAGUGGGGAAUAUUGCACAAUGGAGGAAACUCUGAUGCAGCAACGCCGCGUGAGUGAUGAAGGUCUUCGGAUUGUAAAGCUCUGUCUUCUGGGACGAUAAUGACGGUACCAGAGGAGGAAGCCACGGCUAACUACGUGCCAGCCGCCGCCGUAA